AUUCUUUCUAUUUUCCAUGUAUUUAUCUACUUAUUGGGGGUGGGGGGUCUGUACCCUGGCACACAUGUGGAGAUAAAAGACUCCUUCCACCAUGGGGUGGUCAGGCUUGGUGGCAGGCACCUUUACUCACUCUCCAUCUCGGGGGUCAGUGUUGUUUUGAGGUGUUCUUGAAGAAAGAAUUGGAAUCCAGGCUAAAUAAUGUUAUGUGGCUACCAGUACCACAGGUCCGGUCUGCCUGUCUCUGGCAUUUUUCUUUAAUGUUACAGAUACAUGAAAUUCUCUUUGCUUUCUGUUUUAUUAUAGUAAUCACUCAUGAGCCAAGUGCCUCGGAAGCUCUCAGAUUGCAUAUUAG
RNAcentral lists this long non-coding RNA (352 nucleotides) under Rattus norvegicus (Norway rat). RNAcentral describes it as "long non-coding RNA NONRATT024784". The record is from RNAcentral. Lineage: Eukaryota; Metazoa; Chordata; Mammalia; Rodentia; Muridae.